Molecule: ribosomal RNA, 450 nt
Filed under: uncultured bacterium
Lineage: Bacteria
Description: partial 16S ribosomal RNA
Rfam family: Bacterial small subunit ribosomal RNA
Source: RNAcentral
GUCGAGAAUAAUUCACAAUGGGGGAAACCCUGAUGGUGCAACGCCGCGUGGAGGAUGAAGGUCUUCGGAUUGUAAACUCCUGUCAUCUGGGAGUAAGACCUGACGGUGAAUAGCCGGCAGGGUUGAUAGUACCAGAAGAGGAAGGGACGGCUAACUUCGUGCCAGCAGCCGCGGUAAUACGAAGGUCCCAAGCGUUGUUCGGAAUCACUGGGCGUAAAGGGUGCGUAGGCGGCGUGGUAAGUCAGAUGUGAAAUCCCGGGGCUCAACCUCGGAACUGCAUCCGAUACUGCCAUGCUUGAGGGCUGGAGAGGUAACUGGAAUUCUCGGUGUAGCAGUGAAAUGCGUGGAUAUCGAGAGGAACACUCGUGGCGAAGGCGAGUUACUGGACAGCAUCUGACGCUGAGGCACGAAGGCCAGGGGAGCGAAAGGGAUUAGAAACCCCAGUAGUCC